GUCCCAUCCACCACACUACCAGGUGGGUGGUAUAGAGGAGAUGGACCCACUGGUUGUCCUCUAGGUUACAGAGAGCUGGUAGUCCCAUCCACCACACUACCAGGUGGGUGGUAUAGAGGAGAUGGACCCACUGGUUGUCCUCUAGGUUACAGAGAGCUGGUAGUCCCAUCCACCACACUACCAGGUGGGUGGUAUAGAGGAGAUGGACCCACUGGUUGCCCUCUAGGUUACAGAGAGCUGGUAGUCCCAUCCACCACACUACCAGGUGGGUGGUAUAGAGGAGACGGACCCACUGGUUGUCCUCUAGGUUACAGAGAGCUGGUAGUCCCAUCCACCACACUACCAGGUGGGUGGUAUAGAGGAGAUGGACCCACUGGUUGCCCUCUAGGUUACAGAGAGCUGGUAGUCCCAUCCACCACACUACCAGGUGGGUGGUAUAGAGGAGACGGACCCACUGGUUGUCCUCUAGGUUACAGAGAGCUGGUAGUCCCAUCCACCACACUACCAGGUGGGUGGUAUAGAGGAGACGGACCCACUGGUUUCCCUCUAGGUUACAGAGAGCUGGUAGUCCCAUC
This is a long non-coding RNA of Oncorhynchus keta (chum salmon), 575 nucleotides long. RefSeq lists it as uncharacterized. The transcript is spliced from 3 exons. The record is from RefSeq and is a predicted model, not a curated record. NCBI's taxonomy places the organism in Eukaryota, Metazoa, Chordata, Actinopteri, Salmoniformes, Salmonidae.